UUUUUUAAUUGAGAACUUGUAUGAAUGGUUUAACGAAAUAUUUUCUGUUUCAUAAAAAUUUAUAUAGAAAUUAAUUUUUUAGUAAAAAAGCUAAAAUAUAAUUAAAAGACGAGAAGACCCUAUAGAGUUUAAUAUAAUUAUUAUUAUAGUUUAUUUAUAAUAAUUAAAAUUUUAGUUUAAAUUAUAUUUUGUUGGGGUGACAAUAAAAUUUUAAAAUCUUUUAUUAUUUUUUAACAAUGAUUUUUGAUUAAUUGAUCCAUUUUUAAUGAUUAAAAGAUUAAAUUACCUUAGGGAUAACAGCGUAAUUUUUUUGAAGAGUUCAAAUCGAUAAAAAUUUUUGC
RNAcentral lists this ribosomal RNA (341 nucleotides) under Hadroneura palmeni. Its description in RNAcentral is "partial 16S ribosomal RNA". The record is from RNAcentral. Lineage: Eukaryota; Metazoa; Arthropoda; Insecta; Diptera; Mycetophilidae.